RNAcentral lists this ribosomal RNA (499 nucleotides) under Eimeria arabica. RNAcentral's name for it is "SSU rRNA". It matches the Rfam family "Eukaryotic small subunit ribosomal RNA", at positions 581 to 1083 of the family's 1831-position model. The record is from RNAcentral. Lineage: Eukaryota; Apicomplexa; Conoidasida; Eucoccidiorida; Eimeriidae.
AAUUCCAGCUCCAAUAGUGUAUAUUAGAGUUGUUGCAGUUAAAAAGCUCGUAGUUGGAUUUCUGUCGUGGUCAGCCGGCACCGCCCGUAUGGGUGUGCGCCUGGUUUGCCCGCGACUUUCUUCCGGUAGCCUUCCGCGCUUCACUGCGUGCGUUGUGUGUUCCGGAACUUUUACUUUGAGAAAAAUAGAGUGUUUCAAGCAGGCUUGUCGCCCUGAAUACUGCAGCAUGGAAUAAUAAGAUAGGACCUUGGUUCUAUUUUGUUGGUUUCUAGGACCAAGGUAAUGAUUAAUAGGGACAGUUGGGGGCAUUCGUAUUUAACUGUCAGAGGUGAAAUUCUUAGAUUUGUUAAAGACGAACUACUGCGAAAGCAUUUGCCAAGGAUGUUUUCAUUAAUCAAGAACGACAGUAGGGGGUUUGAAGACGAUUAGAUACCGUCGUAAUCUCUACCAUAAACUAUGCCGACUAGAGAUAGGGAAACGCCUACCUUGGCUUCUCCUG